CAAGUCAAAAGGAUACCCAACCAGCAUGGUUUAAAUGGAACCUGUACCCUUGCAGAUUUACCAGUGAAAAACUGGCCCAAGAAAUGGGCAUUCUGGAGGCUAGAAUCCAGAUUUGCUUUGAGAGAUAAUGUCAGAUAAGACAGAAGUGAUUUUGACCUCAGCUUUGGACUCAUGAAUGCCUCUCCCAAGAAGUCAGGAAAAAGUGGGCAGCAAUUAUUAGAUACCAGACUAGUGUCCACAUCCAAGCCUUUGAGAAAAAUUGCUUUCCUAGCAUCACCACCAAAGAGAAACUGGUAAAACAGACAGGCAUUCCAGAGUCCAGAAUUCAGAUCUGGUGUCAGAUCAAAGGAUCAGUCGUGCAGGCUAGAGCAGAAGUGGGCCUGUAAAUUCUCCAGCACUA
This 400-nucleotide long non-coding RNA is filed under the name Homo sapiens (human). RNAcentral's name for it is "non-protein coding lnc-TP53TG3F-17:1". The record is from RNAcentral. Lineage: Eukaryota; Metazoa; Chordata; Mammalia; Primates; Hominidae.